RNAcentral lists this ribosomal RNA (591 nucleotides) under uncultured bacterium. RNAcentral describes it as "bacterial SSU rRNA". It matches the Rfam family "Bacterial small subunit ribosomal RNA", at positions 338 to 945 of the family's 1533-position model. The record is from RNAcentral.
CCUACGGGAGGCAGCAGUGGGGAAUAUUGGACAAUGGGCGAAAGCCUGAUCCAGCAAUGCCGCGUGAGUGAUGAAGGCCUUCGGGUCGUAAAGCUCUUUUACCAGGGAUGAUAAUGACAGUACCUGGAGAAUAAGCUCCGGCUAACUCCGUGCCAGCAGCCGCGGUAAUACGGAGGGAGCUAGCGUUGUUCGGAAUUACUGGGCGUAAAGAGUACGUAGGCGGUUAUUCAAGUCAGAGGUGAAAGCCCGGGGCUCAACCCCGGAACUGCCUUUGAAACUAGAUAACUAGAGUCUUGGAGAGGUUAGUGGAAUUCCGAGUGUAGAGGUGAAAUUCGUAGAUAUUCGGAAGAACACCAGUGGCGAAGGCGACUAACUGGACAAGUACUGACGCUGAGGUACGAAAGCGUGGGGAGCAAACAGGAUUAGAUACCCUGGUAGUCCACGCCGUAAACGAUGAUAACUAGUUGUUCGGUCACUUGGUGACUGAGUGACGCAGCUAACGCAUUAAGUUAUCCGCCUGGGGAGUACGGUCGCAAGAUUAAAACUCAAAGGAAUUGACGGCUGAGACGNGCGAGACGACGACGAGGAGAG